AUUGAACGCUGGCGGUAUGCUUAACACAUGCAAGUCGAACGGCAGCAUGCUCUAGCUUGCUAGAGUGAUGGCGAGUGGCGGACGGGUGAGUAACGCGUAGGAAUCUACCUAUCGGUGGGGGAUAGCCCGGUGAAAACCGGAUUAAUACCGCAUACGCCCUUAGGGGGAAAGCGGGGGAUCUUCGGACCUCGCGCUAUUGGAGCGGCCGAUGUCGGAUUAGCUAGUAGGUGAGGUAAAGGCUCACCUAGGCGACGAUCCGUAGCUGGUCUGAGAGGAUGAUCAGCCACACUGGGACUGAGACACGGCCCAGACUCCUACGGGAGGCAGCAGUGGGGAAUUUUGGACAAUGGGCGCAAGCCUGAUCCAGCCAUGCCGCGUGAGUGAAGAAGGCCUC
Molecule: ribosomal RNA, 394 nt
Filed under: uncultured bacterium
Lineage: Bacteria
Description: bacterial SSU rRNA
Rfam family: Bacterial small subunit ribosomal RNA
Source: RNAcentral